Nilaparvata lugens (brown planthopper) is the source of this 1159-nucleotide long non-coding RNA. RefSeq lists it as uncharacterized. The transcript is spliced from 4 exons. Lineage: Eukaryota; Metazoa; Arthropoda; Insecta; Hemiptera; Delphacidae. The record is from RefSeq and is a predicted model, not a curated record.
CUGAAUCGUUGCUCGAAUUUGAACUUUAUUGACAUUAUUGGUAUCCUCCAACAAUUCUCAUGAUAUUGCGGAAAUUUCAUUGAUUUCUGAUGACUAGUUCGAGAGUAACUGUUUUGGUAAUGAAAUGGGAACAUUAUUUUCAAGUCAAGUCAAAUUCUUAUUAAAUUCCAUUUAUCUUCGGAAUGAGUGAAUUUACGUCACAAGUUCAAAGGACAAAAAAGAUGCGUCAUGUUUAGUUUCAUGGUAUUUGAUUGAUUUUGGAGCAAAAUUAGAACAUUUUUUAAAAUGGUCAAUGUUUUUGAACGGCCUGUAUUGACUUCUCGUGGCCCUCCGCCGAUAGGCAAAGCUACACAGGACGGGGACUGUACUGUAGAUACAAAAUUAGUCAUAACUUGAGAAUAACAGGCUGAUUGAGCUAUGGUUGAAACUUGCUGCUGGGUCCAUCUUGCUAGUUUAUGGCUGAUGAUCACAGUGUCAAGUAUCAGAUGACAGUCAACUUCAAAUCAGGUGGAAAUAUUCAAAAAGUCCAAUCGCCAUAUGAUGAUGAGUUUGAUCAUGAGGUUCUCUACCUGGGGAUGAACAACUUACCCUUGAGAGAGAGAGAGAGAGGCCAGUAACCAUUGCAGAGCGGAUGAUCAAGCUCAAUAGCUAUGACCACAAGCCCAAUAGUGCUCUAAUUAACAUGUGCUGCCAAGGAGUGAGAACAGUUUCAAGAUUGCCGGAAGUGAUGAAGAAAGAAUAGACUUCUGUAAUGGCAAAGCAACCGCGACGAAAGUCAUGUAUCGACAACUGUGUAAAAGGCACCAAAAUGUGUCACAAAGGCCACAAAGACAGUUCAUCGUGUGUGUUGUUUCUUUAUAAUGAUUGCAUUGUAAAAAUAUUUGUAAAAUAUGUCAGUGUUGUGAAUAAAUUUCAAUUUCAAUUCAAUUCAAUUCAUUCUGCGAUUACAGUGAACAUGCAAUCCCAUAGUUUGACACCGUACACAUCGUUUUACCAUUAUCAUAGUAUAUACCACUUCCAUUGUAUAAUUUUGAACAUUACAAAGCAUGUGUUCUGUCAUGAAUAAUAAUGUGUUUAUGUAAAUUACCAAUUUAUUGUUACUUUCGUCUUUCGCAAUUUUGCAUGUUUUGAAAAAAAUUAAAAGGUAUUAUGUACUUCA